UUGUUGGUACAUAAUGUACUAAACUUAAAGAAAAAAAUUGCAUCAAAGCUUGUUCAUAUCAGGAACCACAGUCGAUCCCUUAUACGGAGAAAUGAAAACCCGCGUAGUCUAUGGGGGGUAUAAUAUUAAGAUCCUAGCUUUGAGGUCUCAAUAAGAAAUCAAAAAUUGUAAAGUUGUAAAGGUACUGUAACACUUGGGCUUCUUAUAUAUACGGUGAUAACUUUUUAAAAAAUUCUUGAUUUGACCGUAAAUAUCAGAUUGAAAAUUUUAUUAAGAUAAUUAAAUGCUUUUUUUUUAUUUUUUAUUUUACAGAACUUUGAUAAACCAGAUGAGGCCUCGUCAUGUGCCAGUGCCCCACCACCCCCGGCGUCUGGUGAGGUACGGUAUAUUCCGGCCAAUAAAUGUUAUUAGAUUUAAGUAAGUGCUUUAUGUGUAUGUUUGUAACAAAAUUUUGCAACAAUAUCCAAAUUAAAUGCUUGAUUCCCUGACUAGUUGUAUUUUAUUCUUAUACACCCAUUUUGUGAUGGUUAUCGACUUUUUCAUGUAUAUAAAAAGUUUAAAUUCGGCAUUUUUGUAGGCCAUACAGAAGUGGAAGAGGAGCUGGCGGAACAAUAAAGUAUGGCGGAGAGAAAACUUUGAUAAACCAGAUGAGGCCUCGUCGUGUGCCAGUGCCCCACCACCCCCGGCGUCUGGUGAGGUACGGUAUAUCCCGACCAAUAAAUGUUAUUAGAUAAGCCACACAGAAGCGGAAGAGGAGCUGGAAGAACAACAGAGUAUGGCGGAGAGAGAACUUUGAUAAACCAGAUGAGGCCUCGUCGUGUGCCAGUGCCCCACCACCCCCGGCGUCUGGUGAGGCCAUACAGAAGCGGAAGAGGAGCUGGCGGAAGAAUAGAGUAUGGCGGAGAGAG
Long non-coding RNA from Ostrea edulis (European flat oyster), 908 nucleotides. RefSeq lists it as uncharacterized. Lineage: Eukaryota; Metazoa; Mollusca; Bivalvia; Ostreida; Ostreidae. The transcript is spliced from 5 exons. The record is from RefSeq and is a predicted model, not a curated record.